GGUUAAGUUACAAAGGGCGCACGGUGGAUGCCUUGGCACUAGGAGCCGAUGAAGGACGGAACUAAUACCGAUAUGCUUCGGGGAGCUAUAAGUAAGCUUUGAUCCGGAGAUUUCCGAAUGGGGGAACCCAGUACACAUCAGUGUAUUGCUUGUCAGUGAAUACAUAGCUGGCCGGCGGCAGACGCGGGGAACUGAAACAUCUCAGUACCCGCAGGAAGAGAAAGAAAACUCGAUUCCCAUAGUAGCGGCGAGCGAAGUGGGAAGAGCCCAAACCGAGAAGCUUGCUUYUCKSGGKKKUGUAGGACUGGACAUUGGAGUUUACCAAAGUCCGACGUAGUCGAAGUCAGCUGGAAAGCUGCGCCACAGAAGGUGAAAGCCCUGGUA
RNAcentral lists this ribosomal RNA (384 nucleotides) under Lacticaseibacillus paracasei. RNAcentral's name for it is "bacterial LSU rRNA". It matches the Rfam family "Bacterial large subunit ribosomal RNA", at positions 1 to 378 of the family's 2925-position model. The record is from RNAcentral. Lineage: Bacteria; Bacillati; Bacillota; Bacilli; Lactobacillales; Lactobacillaceae.